RNAcentral lists this ribosomal RNA (301 nucleotides) under uncultured bacterium. RNAcentral's name for it is "partial 16S ribosomal RNA". It matches the Rfam family "Bacterial small subunit ribosomal RNA", at positions 509 to 807 of the family's 1533-position model. The record is from RNAcentral.
CAGUCGCCACGGUAAUACGUAGGUGGCAAGCGUUGUCCGGAAUUAUUGGGCGUAAGGCGCGCGCAGGUGGUUUAAUAAGUCUGAUGUGAAAGCCCACGGCUCAACCGUGGAGGGUCAUUGGAAACUGUUAAACUUGAGUGCAGGAGAGAAAAGUGGAAUUCCUGGUGUAGCGGUGAAAUGCGUAGAGAUUAGGAGGAACACCAGUGGCGAAGGCGGCUUUUUGGCCUGUAACUGACACUGAGGCGCGAAAGCGUGGGGAGCAAACAGGAUUAGAUACCCCUGUAGUCCCUGUCUCUUAUAC